RNAcentral lists this ribosomal RNA (253 nucleotides) under bacterium. RNAcentral describes it as "partial 16S ribosomal RNA". It matches the Rfam family "Bacterial small subunit ribosomal RNA", at positions 524 to 776 of the family's 1533-position model. RNAcentral also lists the same sequence under 1 other name. The record is from RNAcentral.
UACGGAGGGGGUUAGCGUUGUUCGGAAUUACUGGGCGUAAAGCGCGCGUAGGCGGGCAUUUAAGUUAGAGGUGAAAUCCCAGGGCUCAACCUUGGAACUGCCUUUAAUACUGGGUGCCUUGAGUUCGAGAGAGGUGAGUGGAAUUCCGAGUGUAGAGGUGAAAUUCGUAGAUAUUCGGAGGAACACCAGUGGCGAAGGCGGCUCACUGGCUCGAUACUGACGCUGAGGUGCGAAAGCGUGGGGAGCAAACAGG